Non-coding RNA from Schistocerca serialis cubense, 73 nucleotides. NCBI's taxonomy places the organism in Eukaryota, Metazoa, Arthropoda, Insecta, Orthoptera, Acrididae. The record is from the annotation of a RefSeq genome assembly.
GUACGGAUGGCGCAGUGGUUAAUGCAUUUGCCUAGUAAGCACGAGACCUGGGUUCGAAUCCCAGUCCGGCACA